AGGAUGAGGGAUAAUAAGGAUGUGCUGAGUGGAAAAAAUAUUUGUAUCAUUUACUGUACAAAAAUUUAUUAUAGAUUGUUUUGGAUAAAAACCUGCAAAAUUCUCAAGAUAAUUAGCUUUUAAUAAUUUCCCCAGUCCCACUGCACUUUGUAUACACAAAUGUUUAGUAAAAAUAGUCAAGUACAUUUUUUAACAAAAACUAAGUGAUAGUAUCUUAUAUGAUUCAUUAUUUUCUGAUACUAAAAUGCCAGUUUAGAAGCUGGCAUAAAAUUUAACUCUAUAAUAUGUGUAUAUAUAUUUUUUCUAUUUCUCCCCUGAAAUCUGUAUUUUAUAUCUGUCUUUUAUAGGGAGAUAAAAAAUUAAGGUGUGACUCUGCUGACCUUCGGCAUGACAUUGAUCGCCGUAGAAAAGAAAGAAGUAAAGAACGGGGAGAUUCCAAGGGCUCCAGGGAAUCCAGUGGAUCAAGAAAGCAGGAAAAAACUCCAAAAGAUUACAAGGAAUACAAAUCUUACAAAGAUGACAGCAAAAAUGUAUUUGUCUUUUACACGGCUUAUGGUGGAUGAGGACAAAAACUUUGGAAUAGCAAGCUAACACUGAAAAAAAAAAUGACAAAUUAAUGUGUCCUAUUAUCCAGGCUACAUCAGGAGGUUGGACUUCAAUGCAGUGCAUUUCUAGAAACAGUUUGUUAAACAUAAAAGAGAGCAAGAUAAUUCUCGAUCUUCAUCGUCUUCAGCAUCGCCUUCUUCUCCCAGUUCUCGAGAAGAAAAGGAGAGUAAGAAGGAAAGAGAAGAAGAAUUUAAAACUCACCAUGAAAUGAAAGAAUACUCAGGCUUUGCAGGAGUUAGCCGACCACGAGGAACCUUUUUUCGAAUUAGAGGCAGAGGAAGAGCCAGAGGAGUUUUUGCUGGGACAAAUACUGGUCCAAACAACUCAAAUACUACUUUUCAAAAGAGACCGAAGGAAGAGGAAUGGGAUCCAGAAUAUACCCCAAAGAGCAAGAAGUACUUCUUGCAUGACGACAGAGAUGAUGGUGUGGAUUAUUGGGCCAAAAGAGGAAGAGGUCGUGGUACUUUUCAACGUGGCAGAGGGCGCUUUAACUUCAAAAAAUCAGGUAGCAGUCCUAAAUGGACUCAUGACAAAUACCAAGGGGAUGGGAUUGUUGAAGAUGAAGAAGAGACCAUGGAAAAUAAUGAAGAAAAGAAGGACAGACGCAAGGAAGAAAAGGAAUAAUAAAUAUGAAGUAAGAUUACAACAGAGCAGAACUUGCACCCACCAUUUUUUUUACCUGAUUUUUGUUUUCAAAUAAGAAUGUAAGCAUUUUACUUAAAUUUUACUG
RNAcentral lists this small RNA (1336 nucleotides) under Pan troglodytes (chimpanzee). RNAcentral describes it as "processed transcript". Lineage: Eukaryota; Metazoa; Chordata; Mammalia; Primates; Hominidae. The record is from RNAcentral.